GAAAUGCGAUAAGUAAUGUGAAUUGCAGAAUUCAGUGAAUCAUCGAAUCUUUGAACGCACAUUGCGCCCGCCAGUAUUCUGGCGGGCAUGCCUGUCCGAGCGUCAUUUCAACCAUCAAGCCCCUGGGCUUGUGUUGGGGACCUGCGGCUGCCCGCAGGCCCUGAAAACCAGUGGCGGGCUCGCUGUCACACCGAGCGUAGUAGCAAUCACCUCGCUCAGGGCGUGCUGCGGGUUCCGGCCGUUAAACAGCCUUACAAAACCCAAGGUUGACCUCGGAUCAGGUAGGAAGACCCGCUGAACUUAAGC
This 306-nucleotide unclassified non-coding RNA is filed under the name plant metagenome. Its description in RNAcentral is "partial contains 5.8S ribosomal RNA, internal transcribed spacer 2, and large subunit ribosomal RNA". The stretch from base 1 to 105 matches the Rfam family "5.8S ribosomal RNA", at positions 50 to 154 of the family's 154-position model. The record is from RNAcentral.